This is a long non-coding RNA of Coturnix japonica (Japanese quail), 476 nucleotides long. RefSeq lists it as uncharacterized. The record is from RefSeq and is a predicted model, not a curated record. NCBI's taxonomy places the organism in Eukaryota, Metazoa, Chordata, Aves, Galliformes, Phasianidae.
GGCAAGUGAUGGUGAAAUAGAAGCCUGAGUGCCUGAAGUUGUAAAACAAAGAGAAUCAAGCAUGAGCUAAGAGUAUAAUUCACAUAGAAACUCCCCUUCAGCUGCUGAGUUCCUCAUCUCGAAGAUGGUGGAAAAUGCUGCAGAGAAAUGGGUAGAACCCUGAAGAAAAUUCAGGAUAGUUUCAUGGUGUUGGGGAUCCGGGGGCAUCAGCAUCAGCUGUGCAUCCAGAAGAUUGCUGGCUUCUUCCCAAAGAGAUGAAAUCUCAUUCUUCUCUCUGUUUUAAUGAAGCUCAUAGAUGCCUCCUUCUCUCAUUUGGUAAACAGCUGAAGUUCCUGGAAAUGGAACAGGAAAUGAGUGGAAGGGUCAGAGGCAAUGGAAAGUUGUGAGCUGGGCAACUUGCUGCUGAAAUAGAAUCACAGAACUGCAGUGGCUGGAAGUGAUCUCCUGAAGCAGGUUCCCUACUGCAGGUUGCACAG